Molecule: non-coding RNA, 73 nt
Organism: Podarcis lilfordi (Lilford's wall lizard)
Lineage: Eukaryota; Metazoa; Chordata; Lepidosauria; Squamata; Lacertidae
Source: the annotation of a GenBank genome assembly
UCUAUAGCUUAGUUGGUAGAGCGUGAGACUCUUAAUUUGAGGGUCGUGGGUUUGAGCCUCAAGUUGAGCAGAA